RNAcentral lists this ribosomal RNA (390 nucleotides) under uncultured bacterium. RNAcentral describes it as "bacterial SSU rRNA". It matches the Rfam family "Bacterial small subunit ribosomal RNA", at positions 30 to 418 of the family's 1533-position model. The record is from RNAcentral.
AUUGAACGCUGGCGGAAUGCUUUACACAUGCAAGUCGAACGGCAGCACGGGUGCUUGCACCUGGUGGCGAGUGGCGAACGGGUGAGUAAUGCGUCGGAACGUGCCGAGUAAUGGGGGAUAACGCAGCGAAAGUUGUGCUAAUACCGCAUACGCCCUGAGGGGGAAAGUGGGGGAUCGCAAGACCUCACGUUAUUCGAGCGGCCGACGUCUGAUUAGCUAGUUGGUGGGGUAAAGGCCUACCAAGGCGACGAUCAGUAGCGGGUCUGAGAGGAUGAUCCGCCACACUGGGACUGAGACACGGCCCAGACUCCUACGGGAGGCAGCAGUGGGGAAUUUUGGACAAUGGGGGCAACCCUGACCCAGCCAUUCCGCGUGAGUGAAGAAGGCCUC